CGAGCCAGAUUCAUGCUCGGGUUCCGGUCGGAGUUGAAGGAUUGUUAACAACAAGAUAGAUUCUGAAAGGAAGUGGGCAGGUGGUGGAUGGUGAUAAAGGGGUCAUUUACACCCACAAAGACAUACCUGUUGAUUCUU
Long non-coding RNA from Hibiscus syriacus, 138 nucleotides. RefSeq lists it as uncharacterized. The record is from RefSeq and is a predicted model, not a curated record. The transcript has 2 exons. NCBI's taxonomy places the organism in Eukaryota, Viridiplantae, Streptophyta, Magnoliopsida, Malvales, Malvaceae.